Molecule: ribosomal RNA, 253 nt
Filed under: uncultured bacterium
Lineage: Bacteria
Description: partial 16S ribosomal RNA
Rfam family: Bacterial small subunit ribosomal RNA
Source: RNAcentral
UACAGGGGGGGCAAGCGUUGUUCGGAAUUACUGGGCGUAAAGGGCUCGUAGGCGGCCAACUAAGUCACACGUGAAAUCCCCAGGCUUAACCUGGGAACUGCGUGUGAUACUGGAUGGCUUGAAUUCGGGAGAGGGAUGCAGAAUUCCAGGUGUAGCGGUGAAAUGCGUAGAUAUCGGGAGGAACAUCAGUGGCGAAGGCGGCCCUCUGGUCCAGUACUGACACUCAAGUGCGAAAGCGUGGGGAGCAAACAGG